GGCCGGUUAGCUCAGUGGUUUGAGCAUGGCGCUGACAACAAUGACCAAUACCAAGGCUGCGGGUUUGAUUCCCGCUCAGUCCC
RNAcentral lists this transfer RNA (83 nucleotides) under Apaloderma vittatum (bar-tailed trogon). It matches the Rfam family "tRNA". From Rfam's summary of the family: Transfer RNA (tRNA) molecules are approximately 80 nucleotides in length. Their secondary structure includes four short double-helical elements and three loops (D, anti-codon, and T loops). The record is from Rfam by way of RNAcentral. Lineage: Eukaryota; Metazoa; Chordata; Aves; Trogoniformes; Trogonidae.